RNAcentral lists this ribosomal RNA (253 nucleotides) under uncultured bacterium. RNAcentral's name for it is "partial 16S ribosomal RNA". It matches the Rfam family "Bacterial small subunit ribosomal RNA", at positions 524 to 776 of the family's 1533-position model. The record is from RNAcentral.
UACGGAGGGUGCAAGCGUUGCUCGGAAUCACUGGGCGUAAAGCGACCGCAGGCGGUCUGACAAGUCGGAUGUGAAAUCCCCGGGCUUAACCUGGGAACUGCAGUCGAGACUGUCUAGCUAGAGUAUGGGAGAGGGAAGUGGAAUUUCAGGUGUAGCGGUGAAAUGCGUAGAUAUCUGAAGGAACAUCAGUGGCGAAAGCGACUUCCUGGACCAAUACUGACGCUCAUGUGCGAAAGCGUGGGGAGCAAACAGG